RNAcentral lists this ribosomal RNA (207 nucleotides) under uncultured Amoebophrya. Its description in RNAcentral is "partial Bacterial large subunit ribosomal RNA". It matches the Rfam family "Bacterial large subunit ribosomal RNA", at positions 1465 to 1664 of the family's 2925-position model. The record is from RNAcentral. Lineage: Eukaryota; Dinophyceae; Syndiniales.
UGGGGUGACGGAGUAGUGAAAGUUCUGCGUACUGACGGAAUAGUACGUUAAAGGGUGUAGUUAUAGGUUGAGUAGGCAAAUCCGCUUGACUUGAUGAACCUGAUAGUACCACAAUCCUUCGGGAGCGUGGAUAUGAACCUAAUCAGACUUCCAAGAAAAACCUCUAAGUAUAUGUUAUUGGUACCCGUACCGUAAACCGACACAGGU